UGGGGAAUAUUGCACAAUGGGCGCAAGCCUGAUGCAGCCAUGCCGCGUGUGUGAAGAAGGCCUUCGGGUUGUAAAGCACUUUCAGCGGGGAGGAAGGCGGUGAGGUUAAUAACCUCAUCGAUUGACGUUACCCGCAGAAGAAGCACCGGCUAACUCCGUGCCAGCAGCCGCGGUAAUACGGAGGGUGCAAGCGUUAAUCGGAAUUACUGGGCGUAAAGCGCACGCAGGCGGUCUGUCAAGUCGGAUGUGAAAUCCCCGGGCUCAACCUGGGAACUGCAUUCGAAACUGGCAGGCUAGAGUCGUGUAGAGGGGGGUAGAAUUCCAGGUGGAGCGGUGAAGUGCGUAGAGAUCUGGAGGAAUACCGGUGGCGAAGGCGGCCCCCUGGACAAAGACUGACGCUCAGGUGCGAAAGCGUGGGGAGCAAACAGG
RNAcentral lists this ribosomal RNA (429 nucleotides) under Chloroflexota bacterium. Its description in RNAcentral is "Chloroflexi bacterium partial 16S ribosomal RNA". It matches the Rfam family "Bacterial small subunit ribosomal RNA", at positions 355 to 776 of the family's 1533-position model. Lineage: Bacteria; Bacillati; Chloroflexota. The record is from RNAcentral.